AUGGCCUUCGCUUCCCCUCCCUGCCCACGUGGACUCAAACCGUUUAUUAUGGAGUACAACCAAAGCGUCAUUUUUUGGAACGUACGGGGUCUCAACUGCACGGCUAAGCGUACCGCCGUGCGUUCCGUCAUUUCUUCCGCCAACCCCUCCAUUGUAUGCCUUCAAGAGACUAAGCUUGCCACCGUCUCAUCGUCCAUCGUCUCCGAAACAUGUGGGCAAUCCUUCACCGGUUUCCUCUUUCUCCCGUCUACAGAUACCAGGGGCGGCAUCCUCCUCGCUUGGCAGGAGGAGCACGUGUCCAUCUCGCACCCCACCAUCGGCAUGCAUUUCAUCAAUGCGCUAGUCUCCCCCCGCAAUGGUCGCCCGCAUUGGUGGAUCACUGGCGUCUACGGUCCUCAAGAGGAGGCAGCUAAGAUCGUCUUCCUCUUAGACCUCCAUGAUGUGUGCUCCACAUGCUCCGGCCCUUGGCUUCUAGGGGGUGACUUCAACAUGAUUGCCUCCGCUGAGGAUACGGACAACGCUAACCUCAACCGUGCCUCUAUGCGACGCUUUCGACACUUCAUUGCCAACGAGGAGCUCCGGGACAUCUACUUGCAUGGACGUCGAUACACAUGGUCUAACGAGCGUGAGGCCCCUACCCUUGUGCGCAUCGAUAGAGUGCUUUGCACCGCUAGCUGGGAGAUUGAUCACCCGUGUUGUGUCCUCCACUGCCUGUCUUCCGCAGCUUCAGACCACACGCCAAUCAUCCUCGACUCAACAAUCCGUGCCUCUGGGCGUAGGCGGUUUCACUUCGAGCAUUUUUGGCCUAAGCUGCAAGGCUAUCACGAAACGGUGGCCUAG
RNAcentral lists this ribosomal RNA (840 nucleotides) under Triticum aestivum (bread wheat). RNAcentral's name for it is "partial small subunit ribosomal RNA". The record is from RNAcentral. Lineage: Eukaryota; Viridiplantae; Streptophyta; Magnoliopsida; Poales; Poaceae.